GGGGGUGUAGCAUAAUGGUUAUGCAAAGAGACUUUCAUGGCUGAGGCUCUCAGUCCCGGGUUCAAUCCCCCACACCGCCA
This 80-nucleotide transfer RNA is filed under the name Erinaceus europaeus (western European hedgehog). It matches the Rfam family "tRNA". Rfam says of the family: Transfer RNA (tRNA) molecules are approximately 80 nucleotides in length. Their secondary structure includes four short double-helical elements and three loops (D, anti-codon, and T loops). Further hydrogen bonds mediate the characteristic L-shaped molecular structure. tRNAs have two regions of fundamental functional importance: the anti-codon, which is responsible for specific mRNA codon recognition, and the 3' end, to which the tRNAs corresponding amino acid is attached (by aminoacyl-tRNA synthetases). tRNAs cope with the degeneracy of the genetic code in two manners: having more than one tRNA (with a specific anti-codon) for a particular amino acid; and 'wobble' base-pairing, i.e. permitting non-standard base-pairing at the 3rd anti-codon position. Lineage: Eukaryota; Metazoa; Chordata; Mammalia; Eulipotyphla; Erinaceidae. The record is from Rfam by way of RNAcentral.